GAUGAACGCUGGCGGCGUGCCUAAUACAUGCAAGUCGAGCGAACGGACGAGAAGCUUGCUUCUCUGAUGUUAGCGGCGGACGGGUGAGUAACACGUGGAUAACCUACCUAUAAGACUGGGAUAACUUCGGGAAACCGGAGCUAAUACCGGAUAAUAUUUUGAACCGCAUGGUUCAAAAGUGAAAGACGGUCUUGCUGUCACUUAUAGAUGGAUCCGCGCUGCAUUAGCUAGUUGGUAAGGUAACGGCUUACCAAGGCAACGAUGCAUAGCCGACCUGAGAGGCGGAUCGGCCACACUGGAACUGAGACACGGUCCAGAGUCCUACGGGAGGCAGCAGUAGGGAAUCUUCCGCAAUGGGCGAAAGCCUGACGGAGCAACGCCGCGUGAGUGAUGAAGGUCUUCGGAUCGUAAAACUCUGUUAUUAGGGAAGAACAUAUGUGUAAGUAAAUGUGCACAUCUUGACGGUACCUAAUCAGAAAGCCACGGCUAACUACGUG
Molecule: ribosomal RNA, 497 nt
Filed under: uncultured bacterium
Lineage: Bacteria
Description: partial 16S ribosomal RNA
Rfam family: Bacterial small subunit ribosomal RNA
Source: RNAcentral